CCUACGGGAGGCUGCAGUGAGGAAUAUUGGUCAAUGGACGAGAGUCUGAACCAGCCAAGUAGCGUGAAGGAAGACGGUCCUAUGGAUUGUAAACUUCUUUUAUAAGGGAAUAAAACGAGGCACGCGUGCCGUUUUGAGUGUACUCGAUGAAUAAGGAUCGGCUAACUCCGUGCCAGCAGCCGCGGUAAUACGGAGGAUGCGAGCGUUAUCCGGAUUUAUUGGGUUUAAAGGGAGCGUAGAUGGGUUGUUAAGUCAGUUGUGAAAGUUUGCGGCUCAACCGUAAAAUUGCCGUUGAUACUGGUUUUCUUGAGUACAUUUGAGGUAUGCGGAAUGCGUGGUGUAGCGGUGAAAUGCUUAGAUAUCACGCAGAACUCCGAUUGCGAAGGCAGCUUACUAACCUUUGACUGACAUUGAUGCUCGAAAGUGUGGGUAUCAAACAGGAUUAGAUACCCCUGUAGUC
This 460-nucleotide ribosomal RNA is filed under the name uncultured bacterium. RNAcentral describes it as "partial 16S ribosomal RNA". It matches the Rfam family "Bacterial small subunit ribosomal RNA", at positions 338 to 795 of the family's 1533-position model. The record is from RNAcentral.